Long non-coding RNA from Clupea harengus (Atlantic herring), 889 nucleotides. The record is from Ensembl. Lineage: Eukaryota; Metazoa; Chordata; Actinopteri; Clupeiformes; Clupeidae.
CGCCUCUGUUAACUGACACAAGAGCGACAGUUGAUUUAGGUGAACACGGUAGUCACACCGAGGUCGGAGCCGGGCACGGGGAGGAGCGAGUCGAAGGUGCAGUUCGUUGGAAGCACGGAGAGCGCGAGCCGCAUGCUUUUACUGUACCGCUGAGGUACGUCACGUUCCACGCGCACGGAAAGCUGCUGGUUUGCGCUCUCGCUCCUGACAAACUCGUGAAAACUGUUGUUCUUGGUGACAGCCAAGUUGUGCCGCGGUGUCGACAUUUUUUUUUUUGCUCAGUGUUUUAACCAAGGUUAUCGGUGUUAUUUAUAUUUCUUUCCCUCUCCAAAAUGGGCUUUCACUCUUGAGGAUAUAGAGGCAUAACAUGAUUUGUGAGCCAGUCUACUCAUCGAAAUGACAGGCCAGAAAUCUUCCCGGUUUAUUCUGGCAGGGUGAAGGAGCCACUUCAUAAUAAGGACGUCUGCCCCUCCCUCCCUCCCGAACACCGAGCACUCCUCAAACGACUCUGCAACGCUGCUGAAGAAUCAACACUCAGGAACAGGUUUGUCCUGCAAAUGGACUCAGCUCUUCAUGUUCAUUAGGUCCUCCCUCCCUCCCUCUCUCCCUCUCUCCCUCUCUCCCUGGCGCUCAGGAGAAAUACUCCACUGGGGCUCAUCUGAGAGGGAGAAAAAAGUCCAGUCCAGUUAACCCCCAUCUAAAAUGACACCGGAAAAAGCUGCAACACAGAAAUGAAUUUCAUGGAAACUGAAGCGUGGUGGGAAUUAAGCCAAGCGCUUGUGUUAUGAGGUAGACACGCUUGUGCUCCGCCAUAUUUGGGCAUGGUCACUCCGGGAACCUUAGGUCCUGUGAUUGUUUUUGUAAGAAAAUAUUUUUAGGGAGAUCAGAA